UACGUAGGGUGCAAGCGUUGUCCGGAAUUAUUGGGCGUAAAGGGCUCGUAGGCGGUCCGUCACGUCGGGAGUGAAAACUCAGGGCUCAACCCUGAGCGUGCUUCCGAUACGGGCGGACUAGAGGUAUGCAGGGGAGAACGGAAUUCCUGGUGUAGCGGUGGAAUGCGCAGAUAUCAGGAGGAACACCGGUGGCGAAGGCGGUUCUCUGGGCAUUACCUGACGCUGAGGAGCGAAAGCAUGGGGAGCGAACAGG
This 253-nucleotide ribosomal RNA is filed under the name uncultured bacterium. Its description in RNAcentral is "partial 16S ribosomal RNA". It matches the Rfam family "Bacterial small subunit ribosomal RNA", at positions 524 to 776 of the family's 1533-position model. The record is from RNAcentral.